Molecule: long non-coding RNA, 987 nt
Filed under: Homo sapiens (human)
Lineage: Eukaryota; Metazoa; Chordata; Mammalia; Primates; Hominidae
Description: long intergenic non-protein coding RNA 1837
Source: RNAcentral
UGGGAAGAGAGCUGACAACCUUCUGUGGUAAGGGGUGAACAUCCUUGGGAAGCCACAGAGAGCAAGGCGCAGUUUUUCAUUGAUCACCACUUUCAAGAUGCUCCCAGAAUCGUGCUGUCUAGGAAGCCAUUUAAACUGGUGAGAAGCCAUCCUCUCUUGAAUGGGGGCUCCCACUGUACAUCUGGCACCCACUUCACAGAUUCUGGGGGAUGUCAACACCAGCACUGCUGAGCUGUGUGACCUUGAGCAAGACAGUUAGCCUCUCUGAACCUCAGUGUCCUUCUCUGUAGGCUGGAGAUUGAUAUACCUUCAUUAUCGGGGUAUGAGAGUGUUAUAAGGUGGGAUGGUGGAACACGCUGACUGGUCUGGGCUAUUCAAGAUCCAUGAACUGGAAGAUGCUUUCUUAUAACUCAGAGAAAAGAGAUGAAAAUGAAUCAAAGAACAGGAAGGAGACAAGCUCAGGAGAGUCACCCUAAGAAGGAUGUGUGGAAGACUUGACUGGAGGAUCAAAAUGUGUCGGGGGAAGGUGUACAAGGAGGAGUAAGGACACAGAUGUCCUGACUUCACACAGUGGGGGAUUAGAAGCCACCAUCAAACACAGAUGAAACAGGAAUAAAAGUAGUAGUACAUUACUUAAGCUUUAAAAGGGUAAGACUCCUGGGAAUUUGGAAGCUGAGACUUGAGGAGCAGAGGCAUUUAGCUGUGUAAACACAGAGCUUCAGUGGCAGCACCCUAAAUGCUUAGCUGAUAGAUCCGGAAUUAAAUACAGACCUAGAAACUGGAGUUGGAAAACUUCCUGGCAGCACUCCUUCCCUGCCAUCCCGGUGAUCCCCUUCUGGAUGGAGGGUGUGGAGCUCAGCACAUUCACGUCUGCAGCCCUGAACUGCUUGUCUUUUGCCUUGUUAUCUUUCCUGGACUGUGAACUUCCCAAGUGAAGAGCAUUGUAUUUGCUACAGACAACCUUCUGUUAUUAAAAGCUUUAUCAUA